AAAAUAAUUUGCAGCCUUAUGAAUAUGUAUAUUAUGUAUAUAAACUACGAGAAAAUACAAGCAAAAAGUAUUUUAGUUGGCGUUUUUGCUGGCUUUGCUUCGUGUUAUAUUAAAUGCUUUUUGGAGUUUUGGUAAAGUUAAAAAAAUUAUUCAAAUCGUUUAAAUAUAGAAAAUAAAACUAUUUUAAAAUAUUUUUAAAAAAUGUAAAAAAUAUAUUUCGUAAAACUAAGACAAAAUGCAAUUAAGAAAUAAUUGUUGUUUGUGUGCAGAGUUUUCGUUUCCUAUUGCUAUUUAUUUCUAUUAGUUUCGAGUCAUUGCGAACUAUUUAGUAACUAGAACUUCACUCCUAUAUCACUCAAUUUUUAAUUUACAAUUGUUUUAUUCAUACUCAGUGAUAAAACAAUUAUAGAGAGAGAAAGAAUGGAAGAAAUAUGACGCUAUGACACUAGGUAGUCACUUCACUGUAUAUGCAUUAAUGAGGCUCUUUUUUUCAAGCGCUGGUGGCGAGUUCGAACUUUGUCGAUACCUUUCGAGCUCUUCUCACCUAACCCUUAAGGUGUUAAGAGUAUAGAAGUUUCACUCCUAUUAACCAUAAAUAUACGUAAGAAUUAAAUUUAAUUAAGAUUCUGUAGUAUAAUUUUUGUAAGCUUGGAAUACCUUUACUCAUAUAGAUCCAUCAAAAAUUGCGUCAUACCCCGUUGCAUCAACGUAAUUAACUGACAUUAAAGUAUACUGAAUGCAUAACGGGUUUUUUUAUAGACGUGUGGCAAUACUUUUUAUGCUGUUGGUCUUUUUGACAGCUGUUGACUUAAACUCAGUUUGGUUUGCCAUUUUAUAAUAAAAAGACCGUUCGCAAAUUGUGUAAAAUUUAAUAUCAAAAUAAUAGUUCGGUUCGCGCGACGCAUGUUGUGGCCUUAGAAGAUCGUGUGAUUUAAGGCUGUUGACUUUUUUGUGGGGUCAUAUUAAGUCGCUGGUCUACACAGCCACUAGCCUCGAAAAAAAAUAUUCGGCUCGUUACACUGACAUACGGGCGCAAUUGCGACAAAAAAGUGGUCGAAAAUUGGACCUCUUGGCUGAAUUCGAGCCAGCCGCGGCGGCACUUGUCUGAAAUCAUUUUUAAAACAUAAUGGCAAUCCCUUUUUUUGAAUUAAAGCUAAUUUCUUGGCCAUAACACUAAAUUAUACGUUUUAUUUCCUUUUAAAAACCACAUAUCUAAAAAACACCAUUUAUUUAAAUGCUUUAUAUAUGCCCACGGAUGCACAAACGCGACGUAGAUAAUUGUCAAUUUUGUUGGUUUUCGCCGACAUGCAUGUCAGUUAUGCGUCACACUCAAUUUGAAUAGCCACCGGCUACAUUAGAACAAGUUUGGAAUCACCUAAAAGAUAAUGCCUGGACUAAAUAUAACUUAUCAAUAUUAAAAGUUUAGAUAAUAGACCAUAAAGGCCUUGAUACUUCAUGUUUAGUAAAAUUCUUCCCGAAUAUUUAUUAAGUGCAGCGCAUAUUUGUCGUGCGCACGGAACUGCAUGAAACGCAUGUUGGAACUCUGAGAGAGUUCAGUUAUGCUCUUGAUGCUGGGAAAGAAUCUAACAAACGGAAGCAGAAGAGAAUAUUCUUUGUUUAGGCGUAUAUGUGUGUAUUUUAGAGUUCUACUCACUUGAACAUUGUUUGCACGGCGACGAUGGUGUUGCAAUCGGCCAGCGAAUCCUCCUCCGCCGAGUUGGACAGUUCCUUGUUCACCACCACCACACUCUCGGCAAGGGUAAUGCCGGCACGCAGCAGGUCAUCCAAGCAGUCGAUGGAACCGAGCAUCCAAUAAACCUAUAUGUGGAAAAAAGUGAGGAAAUUAAUUUUUAAGCAUGAAUGAAAGUCAAUUUCGGCUGCACCGAAGGUGGUUUCUUUUA
Molecule: non-coding RNA, 1901 nt
Organism: Bactrocera oleae (olive fruit fly)
Lineage: Eukaryota; Metazoa; Arthropoda; Insecta; Diptera; Tephritidae
Source: RefSeq, a predicted model, not a curated record